UACGAAGGGGGCUAGCGUUGUUCGGAAUUACUGGGCGUAAAGCGCACGUAGGCGGCUUUGCAAGUCGGGUGUGAAAUCCCCGGGCUCAACCUGGGAACUGCAUCCGAGACUGCUUUGCUCGAGUAUGGGAGAGGGAAGUGGAAUUUCCGGUGUAGCGGUGAAAUGCGUAGAUAUCGGAAGGAACAUCAGUGGCGAAGGCGACUUCCUGGACCAAUACCGACGCUCAGGUGCGAAAGCGUGGGGAGCAAACAGG
Molecule: ribosomal RNA, 253 nt
Filed under: uncultured prokaryote
Description: partial 16S ribosomal RNA
Rfam family: Bacterial small subunit ribosomal RNA
Source: RNAcentral